Molecule: long non-coding RNA, 260 nt
Organism: Hirundo rustica (Barn swallow)
Lineage: Eukaryota; Metazoa; Chordata; Aves; Passeriformes; Hirundinidae
Exons: 3
Source: RefSeq, a predicted model, not a curated record
CUGACGUCGGGAGCGCGGGUUUAGGCUCGAAGCGUUCCCGCGGAAUGCGUUUCCUCCGGACGGCGGCGGUUUCCUCGCAGUAAACAGCGGCAUCUAGAGGCUUCUCGCGGACAGAAGAACACUCCUGCACAGAGCUCGAGAGGCCACAUAUGCAGCAGAGGAGCGUUUAUUUUUCUGGAGGGAAGCCAGGAAUUUCCAUUUCCACAAGUACAGUUCACUGGUAAAAAUACUUCAGUCAUUCAUGAAUUCAUUUUUGGAAG